AGCUGUAAACCUAGCCCUCAAAAAACAAUAACCCUCAAAUCCCAACUAAAUCAUUUACACUCUUUAGUAUAGGUGAUAAAAAAAGAAAUAAGCGCAACAGACAGAGUACCGUAAGGGAAAGAUGAAAUAGUUAUGAAAUAAUCACCAAAGCACUAAAAAGCAGAGAUACAUCCUCGUACCUUUUGCAUCAUGGUCUAGCAAGAAACCUUAAGCAAAACGCAUUAAAGUUUAACCCCCCGAAACUAGACGAGCUACUCCGAGGCAGCUAUAAGAGCAAACCCAUCUCUGUGGCAAAAGAGUGGGAAGACCCCCGA
RNAcentral lists this ribosomal RNA (314 nucleotides) under Alytes obstetricans obstetricans. RNAcentral's name for it is "partial 16S ribosomal RNA". The record is from RNAcentral. Lineage: Eukaryota; Metazoa; Chordata; Amphibia; Anura; Alytidae.